Molecule: long non-coding RNA, 3540 nt
Organism: Pseudophryne corroboree (corroboree frog)
Lineage: Eukaryota; Metazoa; Chordata; Amphibia; Anura; Myobatrachidae
Exons: 5
Source: RefSeq, a predicted model, not a curated record
UGCAGCGGAAGCGCACGGGACAGCUCCUCUCUCUGCUGUCUUCGGCUCCCACUGUGUGUGACUCUGCAGAAGCAAGUACGAAAGAGAGCCAGCACAGCCAGGACACAAACCACACUGCCAAGAGAUGCGGAUGCUGGCGAUGCAGGAACUUCAUCAUCGCACCACCCUCCACUAAGACGACCUUCACAGGGGUCUGCCAGUCUCCAGAAGAUGGUUAGCAAGAGACGGCGUCUUUAGGCAGUAUCUACACCCGCACCCUCACCACCACAAUGGCGCAUCUCCACUGUGUUGGCUCAGCCACCAGAAGCCAUUUUGGCCAGUCCACAAAGCGAGGAACCACAAUCCCCUCAGCUGUCUGAUCCAGACAUCAUGCCCCAGGAUACCCAGCAGGAAACUGACUUGCAGCAAACGUUCACACUCCACCUGCAAGCGAUUGAUAAUAACCAGCCAACCACGCCGGCUGACAUAUCUCCACCACCCCAAACAACCCCCACCCCCAAUUGAGCCCAACACCACCCCAGCCACAAAUGGGACCAGAGUUUUGGUCCAGUUGGGCCAUGCAACAGGCACAAAACUAUGCCUGUCUCAACACACACAGCCAAUAUCUUGCCAGUCUGCCCCAUCAUCUACCUAGACUCAGUAGAAACUCAGGCAGACUGAUUGUGCAACUGACUGAGGAAGCCGCCGAGUUGAUCUAAGGUGGGGAAACGCGUCUCUGUUUGAAGUGGGGCGAGUCUGGUCUCAUGGCGAAGAUAUAUAGAUGAUAUUGUUUUUAUAUGGGGAGGGAGCAUGGAAGAAUUAGAACAUUUUUGCUCAUAUUUAAAUGAAAAUGACUCAAAUAUUUUAUUGACCUUUGAAAAAAGCCAAUCUUUAGUUAAUUUUUUGGAUUUGACAAUUUAUAUUGAACAGGGUGUGAUAAAAACGAAAAAAUUUUAUUAAACCAACGGAUUCCAGUACUUAUAUUGAUGUAGAAAGCUGUCACCAUAGUAGGUGGUUGGACACUAUACCAAUUAGUCAAUUUAAAAGAUUGAAAAGGAAUUGUACGGAUGGGGAUGUGUUCUUAACUCAGGCGAAAGAAAUGUCCACUAAUUUCAAGGGAAGUGGAUAUAAAGAUCAAAUUAUAUUAGAUUCCCUGGAAAGAGUGAGUGCCAUGAAUAGGGAGGAUCUGUUAAGAAAGUCUGAAAAUAGGAAAAAGGAUACAAACAAUGAUGCUUUUAAAUGGUCAUUUAUUACUAAUUACACUUCUCAGCACCAUCAAGUGAAAAGAAUUUAAAAAAAACAUUGGAAAUUAUUGAAAAAAGAUCAAGUGAUAGGAAAGGAUUUACCAAACAAUCCAAAUUGCAUUUUUAAAAGAGCCCCCAAUUUAAAAACUAAAUUAGUAAAGAGUCUCUGUCCACCUUCCCCAAAAAAGGGAAACGUAUUAACAAAAGGAUUUUUUCGCUGUGGCAGUUGUGUUGGGUGCAAAAAUAUACCCAAUACCUUUGGUAAUAAAUUAACUGAUGUUGAGAUAAAUAAGAAGAAACAUAAAAUCAGUGAAUUUUUAACAUGUCAUUCUUUUAAUGUUGUCUACGCCAUUGAAUGUUCAUGCGGGAAAUUUUAUAUAGGUAGGACAAGUAGGGCUUUUAAGAUUAGAUUGGGGGAACAUAUAAGGAACAUCCGGAAGGGUUUAGACACUCAUGCACUUUCUAAACAUUUUAAAGAAACCCAUGAUUGUGAUAUAAAAUACUUGAAGAAUUUUUUUGUCCUUAAGAAAGUCUCUUCUGACGUCAGAGGGGGCGAUAUUGCAGCCAAAUUAGCUAAAUGUGAAAUGAGUAUGAUUUACAAUCAUAACACAUUAGCCCCAAAUGGCAUCAAUAAAGACUUUGAGUUAAAAUGGUUUUUAUAAAUAAGGUUUUUAUAGGGUUUUUUAAUGUUUUAUUUUCUUUUAUUAUAAGUGAGUAAUUUUAUGUAUUUAUUUUUCAUGUUCUGGAUACUGCACUGAACCAUCUCCUCAGAGAUCGUAUAUUUAAUAUAGAGGAUGAUUCUCCGGAUACAACACUCCAAUAGAUGUUGAUGGAGUGAGGGAAAUGUAUGGCGGGUCCCCAGUAACGAUGUGUCCGGAACAACAUGUGGAACGCAAAGCUCCGCCGCGGCCGGAUGUGACGCGUAUGGAGAGACGUCACAUCCGGAAAUAGCGGUGGAACGCACAUGCGGGCCAAUGGACGGUGGAACGCAAUCGCGGACGUGACACACAUCAGUGGACAGUGAAUAUGGAACUCAGGUGCAUUUAAAAGCGGAGAAAAUUUGGCGCCCAUGGAGGGAGUAAAGAAUACCCUAACAGGAUAAGCGGAUGGGAUGCAUGUGAUUGUUACACAUAGAAUGUAUAAGUUAGUAGAUUCAUGUCUGGUAAUAGGUUUUUCACAUAGGAUAUGAUGUCAUCAGGAAGAGGGGUAUAAAUAGGAUAUCCUGGGGAAGAAAGAGUAUAUGCCUUGAAAAAGAUACUUAAAAGUAUUGAAACGCGUUGGAUAGUGGUCUUUUGGAAUCUGGAAUCAAUCCACAGGAGGAAUUGCGAGGUGCUGGGGACGCCUGGUUGUUUAUUCUAUCUGCCUUGUUUUUCCUGUCAUAUGGUGAGAGUCCAGCCAUUCUAAAUUGGCUUUUUAAUUUUCCAUUAAAGCAAUAUUAUACUAUGUUUGCUUUUAUCCUUUUGUGAGAUUGCUGGAAAUGAAGUGAUGGACGGAUGAAAAAUUUGGAACCCUAUCAUGAUUUUAUCCUCUCCCCUACAUACGCAUAUUGUCUAUUAGUUAGACACCAUCUUACGGUACGGAUUCUACCUACAUAUAGAAGAAAGUAUUGAUUUCAUGCUAUCAGUAUCACACUAUUGUAUUUUCUUAUUUUUCGUUUGAGGGUCAAAAAUUGACGAUAGAUCAUCUAGAAGUACCCCAUAUGAUCUAUAUCAGCGCCUGAAGACUGUUUGGUGAUAUCUCUUUCUUGCUUUACUGGCUGUAGCUGUACACCAACUCAACGAGCACUGGGAUCGAUACUGCACCACUCCGGAUAAGGUUCGCACUAAGGGCUUGGAGCGCCAGAGCCGGGAGCCGCUAAAUGCUGGAUGCUACCCAGAAGGAGGAUCUGAGUGGCCAAUACCAUGGAGCAGAUGAGAGCCGACAACAGCCAACUGAUAGCAAGUUUUCAGUGAAUAAUGGAAGAACAGCACCGCCAUCAACAAGCCCUCAUUCAAAUUAUCCAAAAUAAUCAAUUAAUUACAGAAAGCCUGUCCAGAAUCAUCGCCAACAACACUGCCGCAACCACACAACUCACAGCAAGCCUCAACAACCUGAGCCAAAACAUAAAUGUGUUGGCAUCCCAGCAACAAAGCUCAAGCUCAGGGACAACCACACCUAGCCAGACCCCAGUUACCGCCCCAGUUAGACAAUCCAGCAGAACCCGGCCCAAUGUGCCAUCACAAUACUCUGCACCCAGCAAAAAAACACCUAGGAAAUGAGCAAGCCUGCAUCAAAAUAUACAAUAUUUUCAAAUAUAUUUAAAGAUUAUUGAAUUGUG